RNAcentral lists this ribosomal RNA (588 nucleotides) under uncultured Ascomycota. Its description in RNAcentral is "eukaryotic LSU rRNA". The stretch from base 226 to 379 matches the Rfam family "5.8S ribosomal RNA". Lineage: Eukaryota; Fungi; Ascomycota. The record is from RNAcentral.
CUUGGUCAUUUAGAGGAAGUAAAAGUCGUAACAAGGUUUCCGUAGGUGAACCUGCGGAAGGAUCAUUACAGAGAUCAUGCCCUUCGGGGUAGACCUCCCACCCUUUGUUAUACCAACGAAUGUUGCUUUGGCGAGCCGCCCUAGGCCGUCGGCCUCGGCUGACGCGUGCUCACCAGAGACCCCAAACUCUGUAUCAGUGUCGUCUGAGUACUAUAUAAUAGUUAAAACUUUCAACAACGGAUCUCUUGGUUCUGGCAUCGAUGAAGAACGCAGCGAAAUGCGAUAAGUAAUGUGAAUUGCAGAAUUCAGUGAAUCAUCGAAUCUUUGAACGCACAUUGCGCCCUCUGGUAUUCCGGGGGGCAUGCCUGUUCGAGCGUCAUUACAACCCUCAAGCUCUGCUUGGUAUUAGGCUUCACCCCUAGGGGCGGGCUUUAAAAUCAGUGGCGGUGCCAUUCGGCUUCAAGCGUAGUAAUUUUCUCGCUUUGGAGGACCGGGUGUGUGUUUGCCAAUAACCCCAAUUUAUAUAAAGGUUGACCUCGGAUCAGGUAGGGAUACCCGCUGAACUUAAGCAUAUCAAUAAGCGGAGGA